CGCAGGCGAACGCUGGCGGCGUGCUUAACACAUGCAAGUCGAACGAUGAACAGGAGCUUGCUUCUGGGAUUAGUGGCGAACGGGUGAGUAACACGUGAGUAACCUGCCCUUGACUCUGGGAUAAGCGUUGGAAACGACGUCUAAUACCGGAUAUGACCCCUACCGGCAUCGGUUGGGGGUGGAAAGAUUUUUUGGUCAAGGAUGGACUCGCGGCCUAUCAGGUAGUUGGUGAGGUAAUGGCUCACCAAGCCGACGACGGGUAGCCGGCCUGAGAGGGUGACCGGCCACACUGGGACUGAGACACGGCCCAGACUCCUACGGGAGGCAGCAGUGGGGAAUAUUGCACAAUGGGCGAAAGCCUGAUGCAGCAACGCCGCGUGAGGGAUGACGGCCUUCGGGUUGUAAACCUCUUUUAGUAGGGAAGAAGGGAGCUUGCUCUUGACGGUACCUGCAGAAAAAGCACCGGCUAACUACGUGCCAGCAGCCGCGGUAAUACGUAGGGUGCAAGCGUUGUCCGGAAUUAUUGGGCGUAAAGAGCUCGUAGGCGGUUUGUCGCGUCUGCUGUGAAAUCUGGGGGCUCAACCCCCAGCCUGCAGUGGGUACGGGCAGACUAGAGUGCGGUAGGGGAGAUUGGAAUUCCUGGUGUAGCGGUGGAAUGCGCAGAUAUCAGGAGGAACACCGAUGGCGAAGGCAGAUCUCUGGGCCGUAACUGACGCUGAGGAGCGAAAGCAUGGGGAGCGAACAGGAUUAGAUACCCUGGUAGUCCAUGCCGUAAACGUUGGGAACUAGAUGUAGGGGCCAUUCCACGGUUUCUGUGUCGCAGCUAACGCAUUAAGUCCCCGCA
RNAcentral lists this ribosomal RNA (844 nucleotides) under Frondihabitans sp. RNAcentral's name for it is "bacterial SSU rRNA". It matches the Rfam family "Bacterial small subunit ribosomal RNA", at positions 23 to 873 of the family's 1533-position model. Lineage: Bacteria; Bacillati; Actinomycetota; Actinomycetes; Micrococcales; Microbacteriaceae. The record is from RNAcentral.